This 449-nucleotide ribosomal RNA is filed under the name uncultured bacterium. RNAcentral describes it as "partial 16S ribosomal RNA". It matches the Rfam family "Bacterial small subunit ribosomal RNA", at positions 29 to 523 of the family's 1533-position model. The record is from RNAcentral.
AACGAACGCUGGCGGCAUGCCUAACACAUGCAAGUCGAACGAGAUCUUCGGGUCUAGUGGCGCACGGGUGCGUAACGCGUGGGAAUCUGCCCUUUGGUUCGGAAUAACAGUUGGAAACGACUGCUAAUACCGGAUGAUGACGAAAGUCCAAAGAUUUAUCGCCAGAGGAUGAGCCCGCGUAGGAUUAGCUAGUUGGUGUGGUAAAGGCGCACCAAGGCGACGAUCCUUAGCUGGUCUGAGAGGAUGAUCAGCCACACUGGGACGGAGACACGGCCCAGACUCCUACGGGAGGCAGCAGUGGGGAAUAUUGGACAAUGGGCGAAAGCCUGAUCCAGCAAUGCCGCGUGAGUGAUGAAGGCCUUAGGGUUGUAAAGCUCUUUUACCCGGGAUGAUAAUGACAGUACCGGGAGAAUAAGCUCCGGCUAACUCCGUGCCAGCAGCCGCAGUAA